Molecule: ribosomal RNA, 206 nt
Filed under: uncultured bacterium
Lineage: Bacteria
Description: partial 16S ribosomal RNA
Rfam family: Bacterial small subunit ribosomal RNA
Source: RNAcentral
CAUGUAGGCGGUUUUUUAAGUCUGGAGUGAAAAUGCGAGGCUCAACCCCGUAUAGCUCUGGAUACUGGAAGACUUGAGUGCAGGAGAGGAAAGGGGAAUUCCCAGUGUAGCGGUGAAAUACGUAGAUAUUGGGAGGAACACCAGUGGCGAAGGCGCCUUUCUGGACUGUGUCUGACGCUGAGAUGCGAAAGCCAGGGUAGCGAACG